AGUGAACGCUGGCGGUAGGCCUAACACAUGCCAGUCGAACGGCAGCACAGUAAGAGCUUGCUCUUACGGGUGGCGAGUGGCGGACGGGUGAGGAAUACAUCGGAAUCUACUUUUUCGUGGGGGAUAACGUAGGGAAACUUACGCUAAUACCGCAUACGACCUACGGGUGAAAGCAGGGGAUCUUCGGACCUUGCGCGAUUGAAUGAGCCGAUGUCGGAUUAGCUAGUUGGCGGGGUAAAGGCCCACCAAGGCGACGAUCCGUAGCUGGUCUGAGAGGAUGAUCAGCCACACUGGAACUGAAACACGGUCCAGACUCCUACGGGAGGCAGCAGUGGGGAAUAUUGGACAAUGGGCGCAAGCCUGAUCCAGCCAUACCGCGUGGGUGAAGAAGGCCUUCGGGUUGUAAAGCCCUUUUGCUGGGAAAGAAAAGCAGCAGGUUAAUACCCCGCUGUUCUGACGGUACCCAAAGAAUAAGCACCGGCUAACUUCGUG
RNAcentral lists this ribosomal RNA (492 nucleotides) under uncultured bacterium. RNAcentral describes it as "partial 16S ribosomal RNA". It matches the Rfam family "Bacterial small subunit ribosomal RNA", at positions 29 to 507 of the family's 1533-position model. The record is from RNAcentral.